This 494-nucleotide ribosomal RNA is filed under the name uncultured bacterium. RNAcentral's name for it is "partial 16S ribosomal RNA". It matches the Rfam family "Bacterial small subunit ribosomal RNA", at positions 28 to 507 of the family's 1533-position model. The record is from RNAcentral.
GACGAACGCUGGCGGCGUGCUUAACACAUGCAAGUCGAACGGUGAAGCGCCUUCCUUUUUGGUGGGUGUGGAUGAGUGGCGAACGGGUGAGUAACACGUGAGUAACCUGCCCCCUUCUUCUGGAUAACCGCAUGAAAGUGUGGCUAAUACGGGAUAUUCUGGGUCUGUCGCAUGAUGGGUCUGGGAAAGAUAUUGUUUCGGUGGGGGAUGGGCUCGCGGCCUAUCAGCUUGUUGGUGGGGUGAUGGCCUACCAAGGCGGUGACGGGUAGCCGGCCUGAGAGGGUGGACGGUCACACUGGGACUGAGACACGGCCCAGACUCCUACGGGAGGCAGCAGUGGGUAAUAUUGCACAAUGGGCGCAAGCCUGAUGCAGCGACGCCGCGUGAGGGAUGGAGGCCUUCGGGUUGUGAACCUCUUUCGCCAGUGAAGCAGGCCUGCCUCGUUUGUGGGUGGGUUGACGGUAGCUGGAUAAGAAGCGCCGGCUAACUACGUG